RNAcentral lists this ribosomal RNA (497 nucleotides) under uncultured bacterium. Its description in RNAcentral is "partial 16S ribosomal RNA". It matches the Rfam family "Bacterial small subunit ribosomal RNA", at positions 28 to 507 of the family's 1533-position model. The record is from RNAcentral.
GAUGAACGCUGGCGGCGUGCCUAAUACAUGCAAGUCGAGCGAACGGACGAGAAGCUUGCUUCUCUGAUGUUGGCGGCGGACGGGUGAGUAACACGUGGAUAACCUACCUAUAAGGCUGGGAUAACUUCGGGAAACCGUAGCUAAUACCGGAUAAUAUUUUGAACCGCAUGGUUCAAAAGUGAAAGACGGUCUUGCUGUCACUUAUAGAUGGAUCCGCGCUGCAUUAGCUAGUUGGUAAGGUAACGGCUUACCAAGGCAACGAUGCAUAGCCGACCUGAGAGGGUGAUCGGCCACACUGGAACUGAGACACGGUCCAGACUCCUACGGGAGGCAGCAGUAGGGAAUCUUCCGCAAUGGGCGAAAGCCUGACGGAGCAACGCCGCGUGAGUGAUGAAGGUCUUCGGAUCGUAAAACUCUGUUAUUAGGGAAGAACAUAUGUGUAAGUAACUGUGCACAUCUUGACGGUACCUAAUCAGAAAGCCACGGCUAACUACGUG